GAUGAAGAACGUAGCGAAAUGCGAUACGUAGUGUGAAUUGAAGAAUUCAGUGAAUCAUCGAAUCUUUGAACGCACAUUGCGCCCUUUGGUAUUCCAAAGGGCAUGCCUGUUCGAGCGUCAUUUGUACCCUCAAGCUUUGCUUGGUGUUGGGCGUCUUGUCUCCAGUCCGCUGGAGACUCGCCUUAAAGUCAUUGGCAGCCGGCCUACUGGUUUCGGAGCGCAGCACAAGUCGCACUCUUUUCCAGCCAAGGUCAGUGUCCAACAAGCCUUUUUUCAACUUUUGACCUCGGAUCAGGUAGGGAUACCCGCUGAACUUAAGCAUAUCAAUAAGCGGAGGA
RNAcentral lists this unclassified non-coding RNA (338 nucleotides) under soil metagenome. RNAcentral's name for it is "partial contains 5.8S ribosomal RNA, internal transcribed spacer 2, and large subunit ribosomal RNA". The stretch from base 1 to 120 matches the Rfam family "5.8S ribosomal RNA", at positions 35 to 154 of the family's 154-position model. The record is from RNAcentral.